UUCCGGUUGAUCCCGCCGGACCCGACUGCUAUCGGAUUGGGACUAAGUCAUGCGAGUCAACUCGAAAGAGUGGCGCACGGCUCAGUAACACGUAGUCAAUCUACCCUGAGGACGGGGAUAACCCCGGGAAACUGGGGAUAAACCCCGAUAGGUCAUAGCUCCUGGAAUGGGCUAUGGCUCUAAAUCUAUGUGGCCUUAGGAUGGGACUGCGUCCGAUCAGGUUGUUGGUGGGGUAAUGGCCCACCAAGCCUAUAACCGGUACGGGCUCUGAGAGGAGGAGCCCGGAGAUGGGCACUGGGACAAGGGCNCUGGUCCUAUGGGGCGCAGCAGGCGCGAAACCUCCGCNAUGGGCGAGAGCCCGACGGGNUCANUCCGAGUGGCUCCUGCUAAAGGAGUCUUUUGUCAGCUGUAAACAGGCUGGUGAAUAAGGGGUGGGCAAGCCUGGUGUCAGCCGCCGCGGUAAUACCAGCACCCCGAGUGGUCGGGAUGAUUAUUGGGCCUAAAGC
Molecule: ribosomal RNA, 506 nt
Filed under: uncultured archaeon
Lineage: Archaea
Description: bacterial SSU rRNA
Rfam family: Archaeal small subunit ribosomal RNA
Source: RNAcentral